RNAcentral lists this ribosomal RNA (490 nucleotides) under uncultured bacterium. RNAcentral's name for it is "partial 16S ribosomal RNA". It matches the Rfam family "Bacterial small subunit ribosomal RNA", at positions 30 to 507 of the family's 1533-position model. The record is from RNAcentral.
AUUGAACGCUGGCGGCAGGCUUAACACAUGCAAGUCGAGCGGUAGCACAAGAGAGCUUGCUCUCUGGGUGACGAGCGGCGGACGGGUGAGUAAUGUCUAGGAAACUGCCUGAUGGAGGGGGAUAACUACUGGAAACGGUAGCUAAUACCGCAUAACGUCGCAAGACCAAAGAGGGGGACCUUCGGGCCUCUUGCCAUCAGAUGUGCCCAGAUGGGAUUAGCUAGUAGGUGGGGUAAUGGCUCACCUAGGCGACGAUCCCUAGCUGGUCUGAGAGGAUGACCAGCCACACUGGAACUGAGACACGGUCCAGACUCCUACGGGAGGCAGCAGUGGGGAAUAUUGCACAAUGGGCGCAAGCCUGAUGCAGCCAUGCCGCGUGUGUGAAGAAGGCCUUCGGGUUGUAAAGCACUUUCAGCGAGGAGGAAGGUGGUGAACUUAAUACGUUCAUCAAUUGACGUUACUCGCAGAAGAAGCACCGGCUAACUCCGUG